Molecule: non-coding RNA, 69 nt
Filed under: Sus scrofa (pig)
Lineage: Eukaryota; Metazoa; Chordata; Mammalia; Artiodactyla; Suidae
Source: RNAcentral
UGGAUGACCCGAGGUGCAGAGCGGUCUGGAGGACUCCCAUAUCUGCUUCAGCCCUCUCGGUCAUCCUCC